CUACGUGCCAGCAGCCGCGGUAAUACGUAGGUCCCGAGCGUUGUCCGGAUUUAUUGGGCGUAAAGCGAGCGCAGGCGGUUAGAUAAGUCUGAAGUUAAAGGCUGUGGCUUAACCAUAGUACGCUUUGGAAACUGUUUAACUUGAGUGCAAGAGGGGAGAGUGGAAUUCCAUGUGUAGCGGUGAAAUGCGUAGAUAUAUGGAGGAACACCGGUGGCGAAAGCGGCUCUCUGGCUUGUAACUGACGCUGAGGCUCGAAAGCGUGGGGAGCAAACAGGAUUAGAUACCCUGGUAGUCCACGCCGUAAACGAUGAGUGCUAGGUGUUAGACCCUUUCCGGGGUUUAGUGCCGCAGCUAACGCAUUAAGCACUCCGCCUGGGGAGUACGACCGCAAGGUUGAAACUCAAAGGAAUUGACGGGGGCCCGCACAAGCGGUGGAGCAUGUGGUUUAAUUCGAUGCAACGCGAAGAACCUUACCUACUCUUGACAUCCAUGGAAUUCUGUAGAGAUACGGGAGUGC
Molecule: ribosomal RNA, 517 nt
Filed under: uncultured bacterium
Lineage: Bacteria
Description: bacterial SSU rRNA
Rfam family: Bacterial small subunit ribosomal RNA
Source: RNAcentral